AGCGGCUGGGGGUACUGUUUGCUAGCAUAACAAGAAUAUCAAAACAAUUCGCCUCCAGUAUUUGUCAAGAACAGAGAUGUAUGUUAAAUCACCGACACUGCCCUCUUUUGCAGAAUCCAAAAUAUUCAUAAUUUUCUCUCUCAAAUUAAAAGGGGCAGGUUGCAGUCAGUUCAGCCGUUUCCUGCGCCAUGAGAUGAACCAACCCUGGAAGCUGUGACCCUGAGAUAUUGUGUCCUGGAUGACUGUUGAGGACAAGCUGUACCAAGCCCUUCAUGAUGAUGAUGAUGAUGAUGAUGCUGACGACUCCUCAUUGUCACGUCCUUAAUGUCUUCAGACCCUAAGAGAGGCUGGAUGCUGCGGCCUGACCUGAGUACACCGAGCCCUGCCCACAUUCUGACCUCGCCAAUGGAUUCCUGCUAUACGCCACAAGCCUGGCCUCCCUUAACUACAGGAGGGGGUUUGGGUUGCCCCUGACCUCAGUUCGGUCGAAAAGCGGAGCUUAAAGUUUAACUGCUGUUUAACACAAACUGACAAUAGAUAAAUGCUGCAAUUCUUAGAGAAAGAUGUAUGUUCUAAAAGACAAGGUUUGUAAGACUAGACUCACAACCAUACACCCCUCGGUUAAACUGUUAGCACCACAGAUAAUGUCAACACAACACAUGAACAUUGCAUGUUUAUAUACACACAUUUUAUUUAUAUUCUUAAUCAUUUUAUGUUUAUACAUUUUUUUUUUGUGAUGUAUAGGUAUUUCAUUUUCAUUUUUUGAUGUUCACUGUGCUGCUGUCUGAAAUUGAAUUCCCAUACAGGGUAUUACUAAACUUAACCAGGACAACCAUUUCAAAAGCGCAAAUAAGACAUGAGUCAAUUUGGAUGUGUUAUAACUUUAGUUGCUCCUGCGCUUCCUCUUUCCCACUUUAGAUAAUGUAAUCACAAAUUACAAGCCACAUUCCAAUCCUGACUAGUAACCAGCAGUUUAAUCUUUUCAGACACAGAUCUGAGGAAAAAUAUAAAGUUGAAUAUCCAAUUAUGUAACCUUAUGUUUUAAUGUAAUAAAUUGAUCUGAAAUCUGUCGGUAUCCUUCACAGAAGGUAACAGACAUUUGACAUCCAGAAUGUCUUUAUUACUAUUGUAGACAAAGGACUGCAGUAUGACCCACACUUACCUUUGUUUUGUUUGCAUUAUAUUGUUUGAUCAAUUAACUUAUUGUAUUAUUUAUUUAAGGUUUUGAAGGAAGUACUAUGAAAUCCACAUUUAUAUUUUUAUAUAAUUUUACACAUUAUUUUGGCCUCCGUGCCAAUCUGUCGAUAUGCUCUUUAUUUCUUUAUCGUCUUUGUUCUGCAUAUCAUUUACCCCGUGGUUAAUAAAUGUAUUUAUUUAAAAACA
Long non-coding RNA from Seriola aureovittata, 1383 nucleotides. RefSeq lists it as uncharacterized. The transcript has 2 exons. The record is from RefSeq and is a predicted model, not a curated record. NCBI's taxonomy places the organism in Eukaryota, Metazoa, Chordata, Actinopteri, Carangiformes, Carangidae.